Molecule: ribosomal RNA, 433 nt
Filed under: uncultured bacterium
Lineage: Bacteria
Description: partial 16S ribosomal RNA
Rfam family: Bacterial small subunit ribosomal RNA
Source: RNAcentral
AACGAACGCUGGCGGCAUGCCUAACACAUGCAAGUCGAACGAGACCUUCGGGUCUAGUGGCGCACGGGUGCGUAACGCGUGGGAAUCUGCCCUUGGGUUCGGAAUAACAGUUGGAAACGACUGCUAAUACCGGAUGAUGACGUAAGUCCAGAGAUUUAUCGCCCAAGGAUGAGCCCGCGUAGGAUUAGCUAGUUGGUGAGGUAAAGGCUCACCAAGGCGACGAUCCUUAGCUGGUCUGAGAGGAUGAUCAGCCACACUGGGACUGAGACACGGCCCAGACUCCUACGGGAGGCAGCAGUGGGGAAUAUUGGACAAUGGGCGAAAGCCUGAUCCAGCAAUGCCGCGUGAGUGAUGAAGGCCUUAGGGUUGUAAAGCUCUUUUACCCGGGAUGAUAAUGACAGUACCGGGAGAAUAAGCUCCGGCUAACUCCGUG